Molecule: ribosomal RNA, 465 nt
Filed under: uncultured bacterium
Lineage: Bacteria
Description: partial 16S ribosomal RNA
Rfam family: Bacterial small subunit ribosomal RNA
Source: RNAcentral
UGCCAGACUCCUACGGGAGGCAGCAGUGAGGAAUAUUGGUCAAUGGCCGGAAGGCUGAACCAGCCAAGCCGCGUGAGGGAGGAAGGCGCAGAGCGUCGCAGACCUCUUUUGCCGGGGGACAAAAGGCCGGACUCGUCCGGUCCUGAGGGUGCCCGGAGAAAAAGCAUCGGCUAACUCCGUGCCAGCAGCCGCGGUAAUACGGAGGAUGCGAGCGUUAUCCGGAUUCAUUGGGUUUAAGGGGUGCGCAGGCGGGCCUUUAAGCCGGGGGUGAAAUCGCGGGGCUCACCCCCGUCGAGCCGUUGAAACUGGCAGACUUGAGUUGGCGAGAAGUACGCGGAAUGCGCGGUGUAGCGGUGAAAUGCAUAGAUAUCGCGCAGAACUCCGAUUGCGAAGGCAGCGUACCGGCGCCAGACUGACGCUGAGGCACGAAAGCGUGGGGAUCGAACAGGAUUAGAUACCCUGGUA